UACGGAGGAUCCAAGCGUUAUCCGGAUUUAUUGGGUUUAAAGGGUGCGUAGGCGGCUUGGUAAGUUAGAGGUGAAAUCCCGUGGCUCAACCACGGAACUGCCUCUAAUACUGCCGGUGCUAGAGAUUAGAUGCUGUGGGCGGAAUGUGUGGUGUAGCGGCGAAAUGCUUAGAGAUCACACAGAACACCGAUUGCGAAGGCAGCUCACAAAACUAAAUCUGACGCUGAGGCACGAAAGCGUGGGGAGCAAA
Molecule: ribosomal RNA, 250 nt
Filed under: uncultured bacterium
Lineage: Bacteria
Description: partial 16S ribosomal RNA
Rfam family: Bacterial small subunit ribosomal RNA
Source: RNAcentral